CUGCAUGUGCUGUAUAUUUAAUUUUCUUGAGUCUCGAAAUGCUAUAAGCUCGGAUUGAUCAACGCUCUCUCGGUAUUUUGGUUAACCAACAUAGACCUUGGGGAAAAAAAGGAAAAAAAAGAAAAAAAAAUCAAUCCCUGGACAAAUUACCAGUGAUCCAAAUCCGUAUGCACAAUUCCUCAACUACAAACACCCCUUCACCUACCCACCAACAACUUCUCAUGACAUCGCAGUACCGGGCAGCAGGAUGGUGAUCUCUCCUGUCUAGGAUUCCCAGAGACCGGCUCAGGAAGUCUCCCUAGAUCCAGCUAUUUUAUCACAUAAUGUUCCAAACAAAGCCCAAGUUUGUUGCACUUGACAGGCGAUACAUGAGGCGUAUAGUAAAAUAAAUGGUACCCGAUAAUUGCCU
This 409-nucleotide small RNA is filed under the name Histoplasma capsulatum. RNAcentral describes it as "hypothetical RNA". RNAcentral also lists the same sequence under 1 other name. The record is from RNAcentral. Lineage: Eukaryota; Fungi; Ascomycota; Eurotiomycetes; Onygenales; Ajellomycetaceae.